AUAAAGCGUUAGGGAUUGAAGUGAAAAUCCCGCAGCGGCGCAGCAAGCGAGGAAUUGUAGCAUAAAGCCCGACCAGAA
This 78-nucleotide unclassified non-coding RNA is filed under the name Nonlabens sp. Hel1_33_55. Its description in RNAcentral is "Flavo-1 RNA". The record is from RNAcentral. Lineage: Bacteria; Pseudomonadati; Bacteroidota; Flavobacteriia; Flavobacteriales; Flavobacteriaceae.